UUCUUAGUGGCGGACGGGUGAGUAACGCGUGGGUAACCUGCCCUGUACAGGGGGAUAACACUUAGAAAUAGGUGCUAAUACCGCAUAAGCGCACGGGACUGCAUGGUCUUGUGUGAAAAACUCCGGUGGUGUGAGAUGGACCCGCGUCUGAUUAGCUGGUUGGCGGGGUAACGGCCCACCAAGGCGACGAUCAGUAGCCGGCCUGAGAGGGUGGACGGCCACAUUGGGACUGAGACACGGCCCAAACUCCUACGGAAGGCAGCAG
RNAcentral lists this ribosomal RNA (265 nucleotides) under uncultured bacterium. Its description in RNAcentral is "partial 16S ribosomal RNA". It matches the Rfam family "Bacterial small subunit ribosomal RNA", at positions 89 to 354 of the family's 1533-position model. The record is from RNAcentral.